CCUACGGGGAGCAGCAGUGGGGAAUAUUGGACAAUGGGCGAAAGCCUGAUCCAGCCAUGCCGCGUGUGUGAAGAAGGCCUUCGGGUUGUAAAGCACUUUCAGUGGGGAAGAAAGCCUUGGGGCUAAUACCCUCGAGGAAGGACAUCACCCACAGAAGAAGCACCGGCUAACUCCGUGCCAGCAGCCGCGGUAAUACGGAGGGUGCGAGCGUUAAUCGGAAAUACUGGGCGUAAAGCGCGCGUAGGCGGUCUGAUAAGCCGGUUGUGAAAGCCCCGGGCUCAACCUGGGAACGGCAUCCGGAACUGUCAGGCUAGAGUGCAGGAGAGGAAGGUAGAAUUCCCGGUGUAGCGGUGAAAUGCGUAGAGAUCGGGAGGAAUACCAGUGGCGAAGGCGGCCUUCUGGACUGACACUGACGCUGAGGUGCGAAAGCGUGGGUAGCAAACAGGAUUAGAUACCCGUGUAGUC
Molecule: ribosomal RNA, 465 nt
Filed under: Vreelandella stevensii
Lineage: Bacteria; Pseudomonadati; Pseudomonadota; Gammaproteobacteria; Oceanospirillales; Halomonadaceae
Description: partial 16S ribosomal RNA
Rfam family: Bacterial small subunit ribosomal RNA
Source: RNAcentral